Molecule: ribosomal RNA, 788 nt
Filed under: Campylobacter jejuni
Lineage: Bacteria; Pseudomonadati; Campylobacterota; Epsilonproteobacteria; Campylobacterales; Campylobacteraceae
Description: partial 23S ribosomal RNA
Rfam family: Bacterial large subunit ribosomal RNA
Source: RNAcentral
AGGUAAGCUACUAAGAGCGAAUGGUGGAUGCCUUGACUGGUAAAGGCGAUGAAGGACGUACUAGACUGCGAUAAGCUACGGGGAGCUGUCAAGAAGCUUUGAUCCGUAGAUUUCCGAAUGGGGCAACCCAAUGUAUAGAGAUAUACAUUACCUAUAUAGGAGCGAACGAGGGGAAUUGAAACAUCUUAGUACCCUCAGGAAAAGAAAUCAAUAGAGAUUGCGUCAGUAGCGGCGAGCGAAAGCGCAAGAGGGCAAACCCAGUGCUUGCACUGGGGGUUGUAGGACUGCAAUGUGCAAGAGCUGAGUUUAGCAGAACAUUCUGGAAAGUAUAGCCAUAGAGGGUGAUAGUCCCGUAUGCGAAAAACAAAGCUUAGCUAGCAGUAUCCUGAGUAGGGCGGGACACGAGGAAUCCUGUCUGAAUCCGGGUCGACCACGAUCCAACCCUAAAUACUAAUACCAGAUCGAUAGUGCACAAGUACCGUGAGGGAAAGGUGAAAAGAACUGAGGUGAUCAGAGUGAAAUAGAACCUGAAACCAUUUGCUUACAAUCAUUCAGAGCACUAUGUAGCAAUACAGUGUGAUGGACUGCCUUUUGCAUAAUGAGCCUGCGAGUUGUGGUGUCUGGCAAGGUUAAGCAAACGCGAAGCCGUAGCGAAAGCGAGUCUGAAUAGGGCGCUUAGUCAGAUGCUGCAGACCCGAAACGAAGUGAUCUAUCCAUGAGCAAGUUGAAGCUAGUGUAAGAACUAGUGGAGGACUGAACCCAUAGGCGUUGAAAAGCCCCGGGAUGAC